Molecule: ribosomal RNA, 294 nt
Filed under: Triticum aestivum (bread wheat)
Lineage: Eukaryota; Viridiplantae; Streptophyta; Magnoliopsida; Poales; Poaceae
Description: partial small subunit ribosomal RNA
Source: RNAcentral
AUGGCGGAGGAACCAUCUGCCAAGCGUCCUCGUGGCGAGAUGUCCGACCAGAGCACCGAGGUCGACGACGUUCAGGUCCCCGGUCAGAAGCACGACUACAAAGUGCACCUCAAGGAGGUUGACAUCCACGGCAAGGGAAAGCUGGAUGUCGUAUGCACCAGCAAUCCCGAGGAAGCCGACAAGAUGAUCAGCAGGAUCCUGAAGAGGGUUUGCGGCUCGUACCCUCAGUACAUCGGCGUUGAUGUCGAGUAUACCAGGGAGGACGAACCUCCGCAGAGGGCAGCGGUUCUAUAG